RNAcentral lists this ribosomal RNA (460 nucleotides) under uncultured bacterium. RNAcentral's name for it is "partial 16S ribosomal RNA". It matches the Rfam family "Bacterial small subunit ribosomal RNA", at positions 338 to 795 of the family's 1533-position model. The record is from RNAcentral.
CCUACGGGAGGCAGCAGUGAGGAAUAUUGGUCAAUGGGCGCGAGCCUGAACCAGCCAAGUAGCGUGAAGGAUGACUGCCCUACGGGUUGGAAACUUCUUUUAUAAAGGAAUAAAGUGAGGCACGUGUGCCUUUUUGUAUGUACUUUAUGAAUAAGGAUCGGCUAACUCCGUGCCAGCAGCCGAGGUAAUACGGAGGAUCUGAGCGUUAUCCGGAUUUAUUGGGUUUAAAGGGAGCGUAGAUGGGUUGUUAAGUCAGUUGUGAAAGUUUGCGGCUCAACCGUAAAAUUGCAAUUGAUACUGGCAGCCUUGAGUACAGUUGAGGUAGGUGGAAUUCGUGGUGUAGCGGUGAAAUGCGUAGAGAUCACGAAGAACUCCGAUUGCGAAGGCAGCUUACUAGACUGCCACUGACAUUGAUGCUCGAAAGUGUGGGUAUCAAACAGGAUUAGAUACCCGAGUAGUC